CCGUGUCGGAACCGCAAGGGCCAAGGCGGACCGAAGGCGAGCAUCAUGACUGGGGCG
This 57-nucleotide ribosomal RNA is filed under the name uncultured bacterium. Its description in RNAcentral is "partial 16S ribosomal RNA". The record is from RNAcentral.